RNAcentral lists this unclassified non-coding RNA (28 nucleotides) under Mus musculus (house mouse). Its description in RNAcentral is "oocyte_clustered_small_RNA6205". The record is from RNAcentral. Lineage: Eukaryota; Metazoa; Chordata; Mammalia; Rodentia; Muridae.
UGCUAGGAGGCUGGAGAGGCUAGUGAGA